GAUGAACGCUGGCGGCGUGCCUAAUACAUGCAAGUCGAGCGAACAGAUGAGGAGCUUGCUCCUCUGACGUUAGCGGCGGACGGGUGAGUAACACGUGGAUAACCUACCUAUAAGACUGGGAUAACUUCGGGAAACCGGAGCUAAUACCGGAUAAUAUAUUGAACCGCAUGGUUCAAUAGUGAAAGACGGUUUUGCUGUCACUUAUAGAUGGAUCCGCGCCGCAUUAGCUAGUUGGUAAGGUAACGGCUUACCAAGGCAACGAUGCGUAGCCGACCUGAGAGGGUGAUCGGCCACACGGGAACUGAGACACGGUCCAGACUCCUACGAGAGGCAGCAGUAGGGAAUCUUCCGCAAUGGGCGAAAGCCUGACAGAGCAACGCCGCGUGAGUGAUGAAGGUCUUCGGAUCGUAAAACUCUGUUAUUAGGGAAGAACAAAUGUGUAAGUAACUAUGCACGUCUUGACGGUACCUAAUCAGAAAGCCACGGCUAACUACGUG
Molecule: ribosomal RNA, 497 nt
Filed under: uncultured bacterium
Lineage: Bacteria
Description: partial 16S ribosomal RNA
Rfam family: Bacterial small subunit ribosomal RNA
Source: RNAcentral